Molecule: long non-coding RNA, 326 nt
Organism: Solea senegalensis (Senegalese sole)
Lineage: Eukaryota; Metazoa; Chordata; Actinopteri; Pleuronectiformes; Soleidae
Exons: 2
Source: RefSeq, a predicted model, not a curated record
UCCAACUUUGUGCUGCAUUUCUCCUCCUGCUGCUCCUCCUGCUCCUGCUGCCGCUGCUGCGUGUGUGUUGGAGUCAAUCCGGGCAGAAAAUGGAGGCUCGUUUCAUCACGCUGAGCCCCCGCGCUUAGACCCACGCACACGGACGGACUUUUACCCACGACAACGCGUCGUAGUUCGGGCGAGUUUCGCGUCGCAAAAGUGGGACAGAAAGUCCACUCUUUACGUCCAUCACAUGGCACAGAUUGGCAGCAUCAUGGUCUGGCUCGGCCGUGCCCUCAUGACCGGCUGCAUUUCCUGGAAUAAGCUGGAACCCGAGCCUUGAAAAA